RNAcentral lists this ribosomal RNA (334 nucleotides) under Klebsiella pneumoniae. Its description in RNAcentral is "partial 23S ribosomal RNA". It matches the Rfam family "Bacterial large subunit ribosomal RNA", at positions 2282 to 2615 of the family's 2925-position model. Lineage: Bacteria; Pseudomonadati; Pseudomonadota; Gammaproteobacteria; Enterobacterales; Enterobacteriaceae. The record is from RNAcentral.
GUCGCCUCCUAAAAGGUAACGGAGGCGCCCAAAGGUUCCCUCAGAAUGGUUGGAAAUCAUUCGCAGAGUGUAAAGGUAUAAGGGAGCUUGACUGCGAGAGCUACAACUCGAGCAGGGACGAAAGUCGGGCUUAGUGAUCCGGUGGUUCCGUAUGGAAGGGCCAUCGCUCAACGGAUAAAAGCUACCCUGGGGAUAACAGGCUUAUCUCCCCCAAGAGUUCACAUCGACGGGGAGGUUUGGCACCUCGAUGUCGGCUCGUCGCAUCCUGGGGCUGUAGUCGGUCCCAAGGGUUGGGCUGUUCGCCCAUUAAAGCGGCACGCGAGCUGGGUUCAGA